Molecule: ribosomal RNA, 465 nt
Filed under: uncultured bacterium
Lineage: Bacteria
Description: partial 16S ribosomal RNA
Rfam family: Bacterial small subunit ribosomal RNA
Source: RNAcentral
GACGAACGCUGGCGGCGUGCUUAACACAUGCAAGUCGAACGGAAAGGCCCCUUUGGGGGUACUCGAGUGGCGCACGGGUGAGUAACACGUGCGUAACCUGCCCUUGACUUCGGGAUAACUUCAGGAAACUGGGGCUAAUACCGGAUAGGAAUCCUUGCUGCAUGGUGGGGGUUGGAAAGCUUCGGCGGGUUUGGAUGGACUCGCGGCUUAUCAGCUUGUUGGUGGGGUAGUGGCUUACCAAGGCUUUGACGGGUAGCCGGCCUGAGAGGGCGACCGGCCACAUUGGGACUGAGAUACGGCCCAGACUCCUACGGGAGGCAGCAGUGGGGAAUAUUGGACAAUGGGCGGAAGCCUGAUGCAGCAACGCCGCGUGCGGGAUGACGGCCUUCGGGUUGUAAACCGCUUUCAGCAGGGGCGAAGCUUGUGGUGACGGUACCUGCAGAAGAAGCACCGGCUAACUACGUG